Molecule: ribosomal RNA, 465 nt
Filed under: Vreelandella stevensii
Lineage: Bacteria; Pseudomonadati; Pseudomonadota; Gammaproteobacteria; Oceanospirillales; Halomonadaceae
Description: partial 16S ribosomal RNA
Rfam family: Bacterial small subunit ribosomal RNA
Source: RNAcentral
CCUACGGGUGGCAGCAGUGGGGAAUAUUGGACAAUGGGCGAAAGCCUGAUCCAGCCAUGCCGCGUGUGUGAAGAAGGCCUUCGGGUUGUAAAGCACUUUCAGUGGGGAAGAAAGCCUUGGGGCUAAUACCCUCGAGGAAGGACAUCACCCACAGAAGAAGCACCGGCUAACUCCGUGCCAGCAGCCGCGGUAAGACGGAGGGUGCGAGCGUUAAUCGGAAUUACUGGGCGUAAAGCGCGCGUAGGCGGUCUGAUAAGCCGGUUGUGAAAGCCCCGGGCUCAACCUGGGAACGGCAUCCGGAACUGUCAGGCUAGAGUGCAGGAGAGGAAGGUAGAAUUCCCGGUGUAGCGGUGAAAUGCGUAGAGAUCGGGAGGAAUACCAGUGGCGAAGGCGGCCUUCUGGACUGACACUGACGCUGAGGUGCGAAAGCGUGGGUAGCAAACAGGAUUAGAUACCCUAGUAGUC